Molecule: RNA transcript, 3471 nt
Organism: Calidris pugnax (ruff)
Lineage: Eukaryota; Metazoa; Chordata; Aves; Charadriiformes; Scolopacidae
Gene name: lamin-L(III)-like
Exons: 13
Source: RefSeq, a predicted model, not a curated record
UAGCGGCGGCGGGGCCUGGGCCUGGACCGGUGGCUGCCAUGGCCACGGCUCUCUCCUCCACGCCGAUGAGCGGGAACCGCUCCAUCAGCCGCGUCGCCGCCGCCUCGCCGCUGAGCCCGAUGCGGCUGAGCCGGCUGCAGGAGAAGGAGGAGCUGCAGCAGCUCAACGACCGCCUGGCCGCCUACAUCGAGCGGGUGCGGGCGCUGGAGGCCGACAACUCGGUGCUGCACCAGCGGCUGGCCGAGCAGGAGGCGGGCAGCGACCGGGAGCUGGAAAACCUACGGGUCCACUACCAGGAGGAGCUGGCCGAUGCCCGCCGGGCGCUGGACGAUAUCGCCAUCGAGCGGGCCACGCUGCAGGUGGAGCUGGGCAAGAUCGGCGAGGAGCACCGGCAGCUGCACAGCAGGAAUUCAAAAAAAGAAGCCGAUUUAAAUGUGGCACAGGCUCGUGUGAGAGACCUUGACGCUCAGCUGAAUGCGAAGGAAGCUGAUUUAGCAACAGCUUUGAAUACAAACCGAACUUUGGAGAAUGACCUUCGUGAAUUAAAGGAUCAAGUAGUCACACUGCAGCUGUCACUGAAGGAUACCAAAGAGCAUCUCCACAGUGAAAUGUUGAGGAGGGUGGAACUGGAAAAUCAUAUGAAAACUUUGCAGGAACAACUGAUGUUCCAGAAGCGCCUUCAUGAAGAUGAGCUCAAGGAGUCAAAAAGAGUCCAUGAGAGCAGGAUAGCAGAAAUAGAAUCUGGUCGUCAGAGAGAAUUUGAAAGUAAGCUCUUGGAUGCUCUGCAGGGGCUCAGAAAACAACAUGAAGAACAAAUUCAAGGAUACAAAGAGGAGCUGGAGCGAACAUUCAAUGCAAAAGUGCAGAAUGCCCAGCUAUCUGCAGCAAAACAUAGUGAUGUUGCCAAUGCUGCUCGGGAGGAGCUGAGGGAAACAAAGCUGCGAGCUGAUGCUCUGACAUCUCAAGUUAGUCAAUAUCAAAACCAGACUGUUGCUUUGGAGAACAGAAUAAAGGAGCUACAGGGGAUGCUUGAUCAUGAUCGUGAUCUCCAUCGAAGGCGUAUGGCUGAAAAAGAGAAAGAAAUGGCACAAGUCCAGCAGCAGGCACAGGAACAGUUGGAAGAAUAUGAGCAUCUCUUAGAUGUGAAACUAGCUCUAGAUCUGGAAAUAAAUGCUUACAGAAAGAUGCUGGAAGGAGAGGAACAGAGGCUAAAGCUGUCACCCAGUCCAUCCUCACGCAGCACUGCAACUCAAGCAACGCAAGCAACAAGUCAAGGGCGACGGUUCCUGCAUGGGAAGAAGAGGAAAAUGAAAGAAGCCAGAAAGAGAGGUCACAGUGCUGGAUUUAAGACUGUUCAGCAUGCUUCGUCUUCUGGACAUAUAUCUAUUGAAGAAAUUGAUGCAGAUGGGAAAUUUGUCAGGCUUAAAAACAACUCUGAUGAGGAUCAAUCACUACAUGGAUGGGUGUUAAGAAGACAUCUUGGAAGUGUGCCAGAUGUAACAUACAAGUUUCCUUCACUGUUCAUUCUUCAGGCAGGCGAAGUAGUUACAAUCUGGGGUGCAGCUGCUGGUGUGAGCCCAGGUCCUAGUGAUCUGGUCUGGAAGUCUCAGAAGUCCUGGGGAAGUGGGGAUAAUAUUGAUGUUACACUUAUCACAGAUGAUGGUGAGGAACUUGCAGAGAGGAAGAUAAUGCAUAUACCCAGAGGAGAAGAAAGUGGUGAGCAAGAUGAUGAUUAUGAAGAAGUAACUGGAAGUGAAAUGGAGUUUCCAUCUCAGACUAAAAGAAGAAGAAAAAAGAAAUGUUGUUUGGUUUCAUGAUAUUGGUUCCUGUGAGUCUCCUUAAGCAGCAACUUUACAAUACACUUGUGUGCCACUUAUGCAAAAUGGGGAUGCUAGCUGUUAUAUCAUGUGAUGUGGACAAAUUGAUGAUCAUCUGAAAACAGUUCUCAAUCCCAGGUGACACAGACAACGUGUUUUGGUAUCUUCUGCAAUAUUCACAUCUCCCAUCUGACCUCUUUGUAAGAAAAAUUGUCCAUAACAUGAUGGAAUUUCCUACCUUCUGAUACUGGACUCUAUUCUUGGAUUCACUGAUAUAAAGAGCAGUAGAAUACAAGCUCCAUGUGAAGUUAUUUUUACUUUCACACGAGGAUCUGAUGUCUGUGACCUGCUGAAACAGAGGAUGGUACACAGUUCACAAAGCUUCUAAACGUAUGCCCUAGAAGGAUGCUAAAUACUCGACAGUUCUGAUACGGUGUUUCUCCAAAGGUAAUUUCUCUUUCAAGCCUGAGUGGGAAACUACAUGGGCCAGGUCGCACCCCAGCUUGCACCUUGAGCAAGUCUGAACUCGGCUGAAGUAAAACAUUAACCUGAAGAGUGCUGAGUGUCUGAAAUGUUUUCUGCUCAGAUCCUGAUGCUGAAAUAUACGAAACUGGUCCAGAUCACUUGCUAGAGAACUUCCUAGAAUGAAACAUUUUAAAAUUAAAAGCCAGCUGUAAAAAAUAUUCCUGUCUUAUUAAAUGUACUGUUCCUGUAUUCUAGCCAAUUUCAGUACUGUAUAUUCCUAGAUACAGGAUAUCCCAGCAUGGCUGUGUCAAACUUAACUUGGAGAGAUGUACCCUGUAAAUGUGAAAAAGCAUCUCAUUCCAGCAGAGAAGGUACUGUAACUAGCAAUAUUAGUACUCUGUUUGAACGGUCCCAACAAGUCAGCUUUCUAAGGGGUUAGAAAAAAAAAUACUGAAACAAAAAGCAAAACUAAAAAAACACCAACUGUAAUAAAAGGUGCAUCAAAAAUCCCUGCUCUUAGAAUCCUUAUGUACUAAAUCUCCCUGCAGUCUGCAGUACUGCUCUGCGUAUGUCUAAUGGGGCAGCUAUAAGGGGGGAAUACAGCCUAUUGGCCAGUAUGUAAUUUAUUGUACAUUUAGUAACUCUGUAGUCCAUGUAAAGCCUGACAUAACCCUCAGAAACCAGGCACUCAGCCUCUGGGGCCACUGCAUUCAAUUAUUGUUAGCCUCUUUUUACUGAAAUGCUUACCUACUGGCUCUGUGGUAAAGACAGGGCCUUGAUGAGCCACAAAGUACACUUCUCUUCAAGAGCAGGAGGGGAGCAGCUGAGACUGGAUUUCUCUAAAUGCUGAAGUUUUUUUGACUGCGUCUUGCCUUGCCGGUUCUGUGUUAAGAUGCAGUUGUUAAGGUGAGGCUUUCCAUAUACUAGCUUAAACUUGCUUAAAUUAAUUUAAAAAUCUAGUUUCGAGACAUCAAGACUGGUGCUGGAUUAAUACUUAGAUUUUAGCAGAUCUGAAUUCUUGUUGUACCUUAUGGCCCACACAGUAGUAGAUGCUGCUAUGACCCUGCUAUAUUUAUCUUGAUUUCCAAAACUUUUUUAACUAUUAAAGAUAUUUUCCAUGUAUAUAAAAGCAAUCUUGGAGUUUAAUAUUUUCAGAUUAAAUAAUAAAUUUGUUUGUUCAUUGAUCUUA